CUUCAAAAGGACUCAAGUUGUGCUCACUUUGGAACGAUACAGAGAAAAUUAGCAUGGCCCCUGCACAAGGAUGACACGCAAAUUCGUGAAGCAUUCCAUAUUUUU
Small nuclear RNA from Dromiciops gliroides (monito del monte), 105 nucleotides. NCBI's taxonomy places the organism in Eukaryota, Metazoa, Chordata, Mammalia, Microbiotheria, Microbiotheriidae. The record is from RefSeq and is a predicted model, not a curated record.